GCUAACGUCGGGCGGGCAGCGGCGGUGUUACGGAGGGGGCAAGCGUUGUCCGGAUUUACUGGGCGGAAAGCGCGUGGAGGCGGCCACGCAGGUCCGUUGUGAAAACUAGAGGCUCAACUUCUAGACGUCGACGGAAACCGGGUGGCUAGAGUCCGGAAGAGGAGAGUGGAAUUCCUGGUGUAGCGGUGAAAUGCGCAGAUAUCAGGAAGAACACCAAUGGCGAAGGCAGCUCUCUGGGACGGUACUGACGCUGAGACGCGAAAGCGUGGGGAGCGAACAGGAUUAGAUACCCGAGUAGUC
Molecule: ribosomal RNA, 300 nt
Filed under: uncultured Lactobacillus sp.
Lineage: Bacteria; Bacillati; Bacillota; Bacilli; Lactobacillales; Lactobacillaceae
Description: bacterial SSU rRNA
Rfam family: Bacterial small subunit ribosomal RNA
Source: RNAcentral